UAUUGGGCGUAAAGCGAGCGCAGGCGGAAAAAUAAGUCUAAUGUGAAAGCCCUCGGCUUAACCGAGGAACUGCAUCGGAAACUGGUUGGCUUGAGUGCGGAAGAGGUAAGUGGAACUCCCAGUGUAGCGGUGAAAUGCGUAGAGAUUGGGAGGAACACCAGUGGCGAAGGCGACUUACUGGGCCGUAACUGACGCUGAGGCGCGAAAGCGUGGGGAGCGAACAGGAUUAGAUACCCUGGUAGUCCACGCUGUAAACGAUGAAUGCCAGGUGUAGGAGGUAUCGACCCCUUCUGUGCCGGAGUAAACACAAUAAGCAUUCCGCCUGGGGAGUACGGCCGCAAGGUUGAAACUCAAAGGAAUUGACGGGGGCCCGCACAAGCAGCGGAGCAUGUGGUUUAAUUCGAAGCAACGCGAAGAACCUUACCUAGACUUGACAUCUCCUGCAUUACUCUUAAUCGAGGAAGUCUCUUCGGAGACAGGAUGACAGGUGGUGCAUGGUUGUCGUCAGCUCGUGUCGUGAGAUGUUGGGUUAAGUCCCGCAACGAGCGCAACCCUUAUUGUUAGUUGCCAUCAUUAAGUUGGGCACUCUAGCGAGACUGCCCGGGUUAACCGGGAGGAAGGUGGGGAUGACGUCAAAUCAUCAUGCCCCUUAUGUCUAGGGCUACACACGUGCUACAAUGGUCGGUACAAUAAGACGCAAGCCCGCGAGGGGGAGCAAAACUGGAAAACCGAUCUCAGUUCGGAUUGUAGGCUGAAACUCGCCUACAUGAAGCUGGAGUUGCUAGUAAUCG
RNAcentral lists this ribosomal RNA (791 nucleotides) under uncultured Bacillota bacterium. RNAcentral describes it as "bacterial SSU rRNA". It matches the Rfam family "Bacterial small subunit ribosomal RNA", at positions 552 to 1344 of the family's 1533-position model. Lineage: Bacteria; Bacillati; Bacillota. The record is from RNAcentral.